Transfer RNA from Babesia sp. Xinjiang, 73 nucleotides. It matches the Rfam family "tRNA". From Rfam's summary of the family: Transfer RNA (tRNA) molecules are approximately 80 nucleotides in length. Their secondary structure includes four short double-helical elements and three loops (D, anti-codon, and T loops). The record is from Rfam. Lineage: Eukaryota; Apicomplexa; Aconoidasida; Piroplasmida; Babesiidae.
GAUCCAUUAGCUUAGUGGUUAGAGCAUUGGUCUUAUGAGCCAAAGGUCGUGGGUUCGAGCCCCACAUGGAUCA